This 440-nucleotide ribosomal RNA is filed under the name uncultured bacterium. RNAcentral's name for it is "partial 16S ribosomal RNA". It matches the Rfam family "Bacterial small subunit ribosomal RNA", at positions 338 to 795 of the family's 1533-position model. The record is from RNAcentral.
CCUACGGGCGGCAGCAGUGGGGGAUAUUGCACAAUGGGGGGAACCCUGAUGCAGCGACGCCGCGUGGGUGAAGGAGGGUUUCGGCGCGUAAAGCCCUAUCGGCAGGGAAGAAGAUGACGGUACCUGGCCAAGAAGCCCCGGCUAACUACGUGCCAACAGCCGCGGUAAUACGUAGGGGGCAAGCGUUAUCCGGAUUUACUGGGUGUAAAGGGGGCGCAGACGGCAAUGCAAGCCAGGAGUGAAAGCCCGGGGCCCAACCCCGGGACUGCUCUUGGAACUGCAUGGCUGGAGUACAGGAGGGGCAGGCGGAAUUCCUAGUGUAGCGGUGAAAUGCGUAGAUAUUAGGAGGAACACCGGUGGCGAAGGCGGCCUGCUGGACUGUGACUGACGUUGAGGCCCGAAGGCGUGGGGAGCAAACAGGAUUAGAUACCCUAGUAGUC